Long non-coding RNA from Malania oleifera, 805 nucleotides. RefSeq lists it as uncharacterized. Lineage: Eukaryota; Viridiplantae; Streptophyta; Magnoliopsida; Santalales; Ximeniaceae. The record is from RefSeq and is a predicted model, not a curated record. The transcript is spliced from 2 exons.
CAAGUAAAUAGUAAAGGCAUGGUAUGGGAAAUCGGGUGCCUUCCAUUAUGCAAAUAUAUAUAUAUAAAAGGCCGUACCAAGUGCACAAGGCUCCCACUUUGAGUGGGGUCUGGGAGAGGUGGAUGUCGGCAAGCCUUACCACCAUUUUUGGAGUGGCUGCUCCCAUGUCUUGAACUCGAGACCACUUGUACCGAGGCGGAGGCACUUGCCAUCGCACCAAGGCACGACCUUUAUAUAUAUAUAUAUUCAAAUAUUUUGUUGGUCUUAAUAAUUUCCAAGUUGAGCAUAGACGUUAAUCCUCAUUCCCCAAAUAGAAAAUUCGGUGCAAAGCAGAACUCCUUCAAUGCGCCACUUCCAUUUGACCACUGAAUGGAUUAAAUCGGCAUUCAAUCAUGUUCAUUGAUUAACUGUUCGUGUCUGGCUUCUGAUCAAUCUCGAAGGCUGUAUCUCUCUCCGGAGGCGACAGGCUUCCACAACUAUGGCAAUGGGGCCCUGAAGGAACGUUGAUUUUCUAAUAGGGUGGGGGCAUGGAGUAUUCUUGUUCCCUGUGGGAGAACUGGCCAUUCUCACUCCAUCGCCAUCCUUACCAGUUUAAAUAGAGAACAACUUUUCAGUACAUGUUUUUACUUCUUUGGAGAGAUACUUUUGUCUUUUGCAACAAAAGCUUUUAUUCAAGUUGUAGACCCUAAAUAGCAAAUGGGGUUAUAUUUUUUAGUCUAUUACCAUUAAUUUAAAAGAAAAUGAAAGGAUUUUGUGUCACUGAUAUUUGCUAUAGGUAAUCUACUCAUAAAUACACUUUUUCUUU